Oncorhynchus tshawytscha (Chinook salmon) is the source of this 1538-nucleotide long non-coding RNA. The record is from Ensembl. Lineage: Eukaryota; Metazoa; Chordata; Actinopteri; Salmoniformes; Salmonidae.
GUGAACAUGAGUGUUCAUGCCCUGUACACUAAAUAAGUGCCCAAGAGGAACAAGUUCAACCAGCAAGGGGAUGGUUGUAAGACUAAGGGGCUGCCUUGGACCACAAUCAUUCCGGGAAAAGACAUCAGGCUACAACAAAGGAGGGAGUGCUCAGAUUCAACCAAUAAUUCUUCAAGGCUGCAAAGGCAUUCGUGGUGAAAUCCAUCAAGGAGGAAAAGAUCCUCCUGGCAGCGUAUUAGUGAUGAGUGACUACCAUAGCUAGGAGGGCAUAGUUGAGCUGAGGUGAUUCUCGUCUACCGACUCCCGUCCUCUCACUUCAAAAAGAUGACCUGACAGAGAGAAGUGAUGACAACAAGUGCAGACUCUAACUUGACAGUGUAUUUCAAAUUUUGAGCAAAUUCCAUCUGGGAGGGAAGCUGACUGCUGCCUGGGCAAAGGAAAACAAUGGGAAAAUGUAAAUAAAAAGUACAAGGAGGCUAGGGAGAAAACUAGCCCUGUGCCAAAGAAGAGGAACAAUGACCUUCUGCAUUUCCUCAGAGAGACAGGAGAAGAGGGACAAUGAGGCUCGGGAGAAAGAGGAGAAGAGGGAGGAAGAGGCUGCCAAGAGAGGUCACAAGUUCCUCUCUCUUUUUGGGAAAUGUGUAGAUAAGGUGUGAGAGUUUUGAGAGAGAUGUGAGUUAGGGUUUUAAAGUUAAAUUUUAAAGUUUAAAUGGUUCAAUUGUAAUUACGCAAGGGUUAACAUGAUCCACUGUUCCCUGUGUCUCUAUAUAGUUAGAUAUUGAUAACACCAUAACAACCAUGUAGCAAUUCAAGUGAAUUGACUUAUUAUGGUGAAUUUUGAUGCUGAACUAUAUUUGAUGUUACAAGGGCAAAACAGGAACAUGGUAAAUUCAGAGAAUUGUUGUUUACGUGUUUUACAUCACAUGUACUUCUAACCCAGCAGGGACACGGGAGGGGGGUAUGCACUCACGACUGUUAGUUGCUCUGGAUUUGAGCGUCUCGUAAAUGACUCAAAUGUAAAAUCACUACAUAAUCAGUGGGCCUCUUUAAUGUGCUCCCAGCUGACCCUCUCUUGUGUGUGGUAAUGAAUCUCAAUUGUAAUAUCCUUGAUAUCUCCCCUCCUUAUCUCCUUCUCAAAGCACAUUGGAGCAGACUAUCUGAGCUUCCUCCAAUGCGUUUUGUGAGAAGGAGGAGAGAGGAAGCGAGUAAUCAAGGAAAUUCGAUCGAGAUACAGCUGUUGUUCGCUCUGUUCUUACUCUUACAUUACAGGUGAUGGGCUGCACUUGUCUGUGUGAAGAUUCUGGGGUGCUGUUUUUUGAGCGCAAGAACUAGAAUAAAUUGAACUGACACCUUCCAUAAUUCUACAUGAGACACUCAUCUGUUCUACAUGAUGCAGCAUUGUGCCCACACUAAACACAACUCAGGGCUCUUUCUCAACCUUUUUAUCCCUGUUUUUUUCACGGUCCUUCUCAUCCAAUAGGUUUAAGAAAUGCUAUCAAUGUGCAUAAUAUCUAACACGUGUGGCAAGGGUAGGGAAA